GUAGGCGGAGUGGCAAGUCAGAAGUGUAAUCCUCGAGCUCAACUCGAGGCUUGCUUUUGAAACUGCUUCUCUUGAGUUAUGUAUAGGGAGACGGAAUUCCAGGUGUAGCGGUGGAAUGCGUAGAUAUCUGGAAGAACACCCGUAGCGAAGGCGGUCUCCUGGCCAUAUACUGACGCUGAGGCUCGAAAGCGUGGGGAGCAAACAGGAUUAGAUACCCUGGUAGUCUACGCCGUAAACGAUGGACACUAGAUGUUGGGGGCUUUAUGCCUUCGGUGUCGUAGCUAACGCGAUAAGUGUCCCGCCUGGGGAGUACGCUCGCAAGGGUGAAACUCAAAGGAAUUGACGGGGGCCCGCACAAGCGGUGGAGCAUGCGCUUUAAUUCGAUGCAACGCGAAGAACCUUACCUGGGCUUGACAUGGGAGUGAAACUUCCCAGAGAUGGGGAGCCUUCCUUCGGGAACACUCUACACAGGUGCUGCAUGGUUGUCGUCAGCUCGUGUCGUGAGAUGUUGGGUUAAGUCCCGCAACGAGCGCAACCCUCGCCCUUAGUUGCCAUCAGGUAAUGCUGGGAACUCUAGGGGGACUGCCUGGUCCAACCAGGAGGAAGGUGGGGAUGACGUCAAAUCCUCAUGGCCCUUACGUCCAGGGCUAGACGCGUGCUACAAUGGCCGGUACAGAGGGAAGCGAAAUCGUGAGGUGGAGCUAAUCCGGAAAAACCGGUCUCAGUUCGGAUUGGAGUCUGCAAUUCGACUCUAUGAAGGUGGAAUCGCUAGU
Molecule: ribosomal RNA, 773 nt
Filed under: uncultured organism
Description: bacterial SSU rRNA
Rfam family: Bacterial small subunit ribosomal RNA
Source: RNAcentral